AUGAACACUCGCCAAAAAACCUCCGCCCAACUUUGCCAAGUUGCCCGGAGGCUUGGGGUCUACUGUCGGAGUAACCGACCACGGGUAUUUCAAGACAUCGGUGCUAGCAAGCCCCUCAGUCCGACUGUCCGGCCGCUCCUGCCGACUUCCCGUCCGACUGCUCUGCCCGGUCGACUGCCGGCUGCCGACUGCGCCAACCAGCCGGCUACCAACUACACCAACCUGUCGGCUGCCGACUGCGCCAACCAGCCGACUGCCGACUGCAGCCCGACCCGACACCGACAAGACCUCGACGAGACGGCCAUACCGCGGACAAGACAACCAUACCGCGGCGCCAUCAUCUACAGUGUACCGUUUCCCCUGGGUACUGAUUUAUAA
RNAcentral lists this ribosomal RNA (378 nucleotides) under Triticum aestivum (bread wheat). RNAcentral's name for it is "partial small subunit ribosomal RNA". The record is from RNAcentral. Lineage: Eukaryota; Viridiplantae; Streptophyta; Magnoliopsida; Poales; Poaceae.